This 792-nucleotide ribosomal RNA is filed under the name uncultured Mycobacterium sp. Its description in RNAcentral is "bacterial SSU rRNA". It matches the Rfam family "Bacterial small subunit ribosomal RNA", at positions 61 to 866 of the family's 1533-position model. Lineage: Bacteria; Bacillati; Actinomycetota; Actinomycetes; Mycobacteriales; Mycobacteriaceae. The record is from RNAcentral.
GUCGAACGGAAAGGCCCUUCGGGGUACUCGAGUGGCGAACGGGUGAGUAACACGUGGGUGAUCUGCCCUGCACUUUGGGAUAAGCCUGGGAAACUGGGUCUAAUACCGAAUACACCCUGCUGGUCGCAUGGCCUGGUGGGGGAAAGCUUUUGCGGUGUGGGAUGGGCCCGCGGCCUAUCAGCUUGUUGGUGAGGUUACGGCUCACCAAGGCGACGACGGGUAGCCGGCCUGAGAGGGUGACCGGCCACACUGGGACUGAGAUACGGCCCAGACUCCUACGGGAGGCAGCAGUGGGGAAUAUUGCACAAUGGGCGCAAGCCUGAUGCAGCGACGCCGCGUGAGGGAUGACGGCCUUCGGGUUGUAAACCUCUUUCGCCAGGGACGAAGCGCAAGUGACGGUACCUGGAGAAGAAGGACCGGCCAACUACGUGCCAGCAGCCGCGGUAAUACGUAGGGUCCGAGCGUUGUCCGGAAUUACUGGGCGUAAAGAGCUCGUAGGUGGUUUGUCGCGUUGUUCGUGAAAACUCACAGCUCAACUGUGGGCGUGCGGGCGAUACGGGCAGACUAGAGUACUGCAGGGGAGACUGGAAUUCCUGGUGUAGCGGUGGAAUGCGCAGAUAUCAUGAGGAACACCGGUGGCGAAUGCGGGUCUCUGGGCAGUAACUGACGCUGACGAGCGAAAGCGUGGGGAGCGAACAGGAUUAGAUACCCUGGUAGUCCACGCCGUAAACGGUGGGUACUAGGUGUGGGUUUCCUUCCUUGUGAUCCGUGCCGUAACUAACGCAUUAAGUA